Molecule: small RNA, 169 nt
Filed under: Enterobacter asburiae
Lineage: Bacteria; Pseudomonadati; Pseudomonadota; Gammaproteobacteria; Enterobacterales; Enterobacteriaceae
Also listed under: 1 other name
Description: RtT sRNA
Rfam family: tRNA (bases 1-66)
Source: RNAcentral
UAGCUCAGUUGGUAGAGCAGUUGACUUUUAAUCAAUUGGUCGCAGGUUCGAAUCCUGCACGACCCACCACUAAGUCAGGUGGAAGUAGUAGUAAAACGUGAAGGAUAACGUUGCGUCAGCAACGGCCCGUAGGGCGAGGCGAAGCCGAGUCAUCCUGCACGACCCACCG